CAGUAGCCACGGUAAUACGAAGGGUGCAAGCGUUAAUCGGAAUUACUGGGCGUAAAGCGUGCGUAGGCGGUGAGUUAAGUCUGCUGUGAAAUCCCCGGGCUCAACCUGGGAAUGGCAGUGGAUACUGGCUCGCUAGAGUGUGUCAGAGGACGGUGGAAUUCCCGGUGUAGCGGUGAAAUGCGUAGAGAUCGGGAGGAACAUCAGUGGCGAAGGCGGCCAUCUGGGACAACACUGACGCUGAGGCACGAAAGCGUGGGGAGCAAACAGGAUUAGAUACCCCCGUAGUCCCUGUCUCUUAUAC
Molecule: ribosomal RNA, 301 nt
Filed under: uncultured bacterium
Lineage: Bacteria
Description: partial 16S ribosomal RNA
Rfam family: Bacterial small subunit ribosomal RNA
Source: RNAcentral